This 1452-nucleotide ribosomal RNA is filed under the name Triticum aestivum (bread wheat). RNAcentral's name for it is "partial small subunit ribosomal RNA". Lineage: Eukaryota; Viridiplantae; Streptophyta; Magnoliopsida; Poales; Poaceae. The record is from RNAcentral.
AUGAUGGCGUCCCAUGAACCCCACCACCACCUACUCGGCUUCUCCUCCUCAUCGCCGGUGACUCCUAACCCUGCCGCCAUGGCCAUGGCCUUCGACCACCACGGCCUGUUCGCUCCACUCCACGGGGACAUGCCACCGCGAUCCGGAGGUGCCGACGACAGGCCAUGGCCGCCGCAAGUGUCGACGCUCUCUCUCUACGACACGGCCAGCCAGCAUGAGCUGCAACCUUUCACGGUGGCGCCGCCAUCGAUGAUGUCCAUGCAGCAGCAGCCCUUCCGGUUAAAUAGCUCUAGGUACCUGGGCCCUGCGAGGGAGCUGCUUGGUGAGUUCUGCAGCCUCGAAGGUGAUGCCAUGAACGGCGGCGCGAUGAUGCGAGCUCCGAAGCGGGACGGUGAAGUGGAGGCGUCGUCGCCGGCGUGUGGCCCAUGGGGCGCCAACCCGUCUCUGAGCUCCAUGAAUUACAUGGCGCUCGAGAGGAGAAAGGCCAGGCUCUUGUCCAUGAUUAAAGAGGUGGACAGGUGCUACCGACGAUACCGUGAGAAAAUGCGGGCGACAGAGUUGUCGUUCGAGGCGGUGGCCGGCACGGGGGCAGCACAAGUGUACACGAAGCUGGCGAUGCGUGCCAUGUCACGCCACUUCCGAUGCCUGAGGGAUGCGCUCGUGGGGCAGAUACGAACUUUGAAGAAAUCAAUGGGGGAGAGCAGGGAUGCCGAGGGCAUGUUGGUAGCACCGGGUGCGUCAAAAGGGGACACGCCGAGGCUAAGGGUUGUGGACCAAUGCCUGAGGCGGCAAAGGGCGUUCCAGCAAUAUGGGGGUGCUGCCGCCAUUGAGAGCUGCCCAUGGCGCCCCCAGCGCGGCCUGCCAGAGCGCGCCGUCGCCGUCCUCCGCUCGUGGCUCUUCGAGCACUUCCUCCACCCGUAUCCAAAUGACGUAGACAAGCACAUUCUGGCGCGCCAAUCUGGGUUAUCAAGAAGCCAGGUUUCCAACUGGUUCAUCAAUGCAAGGGUUAGGCUAUGGAAGCCCAUGAUAGAGGAGAUGUACGCAGAAGAAACCAUACAACAUGAGGACGGUGGCACUAGCGGUGGUAAAGGCGAACUUGCUCCCACGGAUCAUCAUCACAACAACUUGGCAGCAUGGACGACGGUUACGACAACAGGAGAUCAAAGUUGCCAUCGCCUUAGCGGCAGAAACAACCCUGGUGACUGCUUCAUCCCAUCCUCCCUGGUUGCCGACGGCAGCCAAUUUCUCCAUGACUACCCAAGUUUGUGCAGUGAUAGCGGCAGCGGCAUGGUGUCGCUUACCUUGGGACUCCAACAGCAACGGGCGUUUACAUCACCGGCGAUGAUCAUGCAACAACAAUCGCCGCUCAUGAUUGGAGCUGAGGAGGAAGACAUGGUGCUACCGUAUAGGAACCUCAUGGGGUCUGAGCUGUUGCAUGAUUUCGUAGGCUAG